AGGAUGCCGCUCAUCGUAUGAAAUAUUACACUUCGCAGCUGCAUUCCAGCGAGGUCUCAGGAACCGUUGGGAAUAUCGCUGGACCAGCGGCUUCGAAGAUGUAAUUGUAAAAGGUUAUUGGAGGAUUUGAAACGUGUUUCUGCAUAUGGUAAAACGUUUAACAGUGUGUAAAUGUAAUGUGUGUAAUCCCUACGGACAGAAGUGUUUCAGCCUAUGAUAAUAAACAGUGAGUAAUUGUAA
Molecule: long non-coding RNA, 240 nt
Organism: Cryptotermes secundus
Lineage: Eukaryota; Metazoa; Arthropoda; Insecta; Blattodea; Kalotermitidae
Exons: 2
Source: RefSeq, a predicted model, not a curated record